RNAcentral lists this ribosomal RNA (451 nucleotides) under uncultured bacterium. RNAcentral describes it as "partial 16S ribosomal RNA". It matches the Rfam family "Bacterial small subunit ribosomal RNA", at positions 354 to 796 of the family's 1533-position model. The record is from RNAcentral.
GUGGGGAAUAUUGCGCAAUGGGGGAAACCCUGACGCAGCGACGCCGUGUGAGGGAAGAAGGCUUUCGGGUCGUAAACCUCUGUCAGAAAGGAAGAACCUCCCAAGUCCGAAUAGGGCUUGGGACUGACGGUACUUUCAAAGGAAGCACCGGCUAACUCCGUGCCAGCAGCCGCGGUAAUACGGAGGGUGCAAGCGUUAAUCGGACUCACUGGGCGUAAAGCGCGCGUAGGCCGCUUUGUAAGUCGGACGUGAAAGCCCUCGGCUCAACCGGGGAACUGCGUUCGAUACUGCGAGGCUUGAGUCCUGGAGAGGGUGGCGGAAUUCCGGGUGUAGGAGUGAAAUCCGUAGAUAUCCGGAGGAACACCGGUGGCGAAGGCGGCCACCUGGACAGGUACUGACGCUGAGGCGCGAAAGCGUGGGGAGCAAACAGGAUUAGAAACCCGGGUAGUCC